Molecule: ribosomal RNA, 491 nt
Filed under: uncultured bacterium
Lineage: Bacteria
Description: partial 16S ribosomal RNA
Rfam family: Bacterial small subunit ribosomal RNA
Source: RNAcentral
ACUCAAAUGAAUUGACGGGGACCCGCACAACUGGUGGAGCGUGUGGUUUAAUUCGAGACAAAGCGAAAAACCUUACCAGGGCUUGACAUGAUACCGUUUUAUACUUUUGGAAACAUUAGUAGAUCCGCAAGGAUGGUAUUACAGGUGCUGCAUGGCUGUCGUCAGCUCGUGUCGUGAGAUGUUCCCUUAAGUGGGGAAACGAGCGCAACCCCCGUGAAAUGUUAAAUGUUCAUUUCAGACGGUCCCGAUCAUAUCGGGAAGGAAGGAGGGGAAGACGUCAAGUCAGCACGGCCCUUAUGCCCUGGGUUACACACACCCUACAAUGGCGAAGAACAAAGAGCAGCAAGCCGGUGACGGCAAGCAAAUCUCAGAAAUUUCGCCUCAGUUCAGAUUGAAGGCUGCAACCCGCCUUCAUGAAGGAGGAAUCAGUAGUAAUCGCGAAUCAGCAGGUCGCGGUGAAUACGUUCUCGGGUCUUGUACACACCGCCCGU